UCUCCGUUGGUGAACCAGCGGAGGGAUCAUUACGAGAGUGUCACCACUCCCAACCCAUUGUUUACCUACCCGUCCACCGUGCUUCGGCAGGCAGCCCUGUGGGACAGGGCCCCGCCUCCCCUCGCGGGGGGUGCCUGCCGCUGGCCAACCAAAAAUUCUAGCUGUUUUUGUAACAUCUGAGUCUUCCACAAAUAAACAAAACUUUCAACAACGGAUCUCUUGGUUCUGGCAUCGAUGAAGAACGCAGC
RNAcentral lists this unclassified non-coding RNA (248 nucleotides) under uncultured fungus. RNAcentral describes it as "sequence contains ITS1, 5.8S rRNA gene". The stretch from base 200 to 248 matches the Rfam family "5.8S ribosomal RNA", at positions 1 to 49 of the family's 154-position model. Lineage: Eukaryota; Fungi. The record is from RNAcentral.